UUAACACUUUCACACUCUUGAGUGUGGUCUCACAUGUACUCCCAGCAGAGUUAAUUUCACUCUGGAUUUUUUGCUGUGCAUGUUUUAUACAGUCUAUGCCCUGGAUGCAGAAUCCAUUCAUCAAGGGGCAGGCUCAUUCAGAACAAACCACUCCAAGCCGAGCCCUUCAAAAACCUUGAAUUGGUGCAUGUGCCACAUUUGAAAAUGGCGCUAAAAAUAUGAUACACAAAUAUGAACAAAUCAGGCUCCAUUAUUUGGAGAAAACAGAUUUUCUUCAUAGCAUGGUAAAUGCAAUGUGAGUAAACUGUACCAAAAGGGAACCGUGUAGAUGCACCAGAUUUCAUCACAUUCAAAACAGCCCAUCCUAUAAAGAAAUGUCACUGGUUCAGAAUCAUAACUUAAGAUAUGUUCUGAUUGGCUAUAAUUGUGUUGCUCUUUGCAGAUGGUUAAAAAACAGAAAUUGUGCUCACAAUGAUCAGAUGAAUCAUGAUGACCAAGUUUGUUAUGUUGAAAUGACUGAUCCUGUGUAUGAGAAUGUAACUGAUACUCAACAUGGCUCUAAUACCUGUAAACCUGAACCGAACUCUUCUGUGUAUGAAAAUACUCCAAUGAAGAAGAUGAAGUAGUGUUUUGGAAAGACAGAACAGUUGUACAGCUUUUAUAAAUCACUUUGUAGGUGUAGGCCUGAAUGAUUGACAGGAGUGUCAUGAUAUGGCUGAAGUAAUUUGCAGAUCAUAUGGGUUAAAAUAGCAGUUAAAGGUUAAUGAAUUGUAAAAGUAUGUAAUCACUUAAACCUCUGGUAUUGUUCAUUUGGGAAUCACACUUAUGUUGUCCGUGGUCAAAACGGACACCUGAAAUGUAACUUUUUUUUUUUUUCUCAGUAGAAUCAAUGUAAUAUUUUUUUG
This is a long non-coding RNA of Cyprinus carpio (common carp), 905 nucleotides long. RefSeq lists it as uncharacterized. The transcript has 4 exons. Lineage: Eukaryota; Metazoa; Chordata; Actinopteri; Cypriniformes; Cyprinidae. The record is from RefSeq and is a predicted model, not a curated record.